Molecule: ribosomal RNA, 464 nt
Filed under: uncultured bacterium
Lineage: Bacteria
Description: bacterial SSU rRNA
Rfam family: Bacterial small subunit ribosomal RNA
Source: RNAcentral
CCAGACUCCUACGGGAGGCAGCAGUGAGGAAUAUUGGUCAAUGGGCUUACGCCUGAACCAGCCAAGUCGCGUGAGGGAAGACUGCCCUAUGGGUUGUAAACCUCUUUUGUCAGGGAGCAAUUGGCGCUACGUGUAGCGUUAUCGAGAGUACCUGAAGAAAAAGCAUCGGCUAACUCCGUGCCAGCAGCCGCGGUAAUACGGAGGAUGCGAGCGUUAUCCGGAUUUAUUGGGUUUAAAGGGUGCGUAGGCGGAAUCCCAAGUCAGCGGUAAAAUCGCGGGGCUCAACCUCGCUCCGCCGUUGAAACCGGAGCGCUAGAAUUCCGAUGCCGUCGGAGGAAUGUGUGGUGUAGCGGUGAAAUGCAUAGAUAUCACACAGAACACCGAUUGCGAAGGCAUCUGACGAAUCGGAGAUUGACGCUGAUGCACGAAAGCGUGGGUAUCGAACAGGAUUAGAUACCCUAGUA